Molecule: ribosomal RNA, 510 nt
Filed under: uncultured bacterium
Lineage: Bacteria
Description: partial 16S ribosomal RNA
Rfam family: Bacterial small subunit ribosomal RNA
Source: RNAcentral
GACGAACGCUGGCGGCGUGCUUAACACAUGCAAGUCGAACGAAGAGCGAUGGAAGCUUGCUUCUAUCAAUCUUAGUGGCGAACGGGUGAGUAACGCGUAAUCAACCUGCCCUUCAGAGGGGGACAACAGUUGGAAACGACUGCUAAUACCGCAUACGAUCUAAUCUCGGCAUCGAGGAUAGAUGAAAGGUGGCCUCUACAUGUAAGCUAUCACUGAAGGAGGGGAUUGCGUCUGAUUAGCUAGUUGGAGGGGUAACGGCCCACCAAGGCGAUGGUCAGUAGCCGGUCUGAGAGGAUGAACGGCCACAUUGGGACUGAGACACGGCCCAGACUCCUACGGGAGGCAGCAGUGGGGAAUCUUCCGCAAUGGACGAAAGUCUGACGGAGCAACGCCGCGUGAGUGAUGACGGCCUUCGGGUUGUAAAGCUCUGUUAAUCGGGACGAAAGGCCUUCUUGCGAAUAGUGAGAAGGAUUGACGGUACCGGAAGAGAAAGCCACGGCUAACUACGUG